This 1507-nucleotide long non-coding RNA is filed under the name Monodelphis domestica (gray short-tailed opossum). RNAcentral describes it as "lncRNA (ENSMODG00000041165.1)". Lineage: Eukaryota; Metazoa; Chordata; Mammalia; Didelphimorphia; Didelphidae. The record is from RNAcentral.
CACCUUGCAUCCUUCUGUUGGCCUCCUGACUAAGAAGUCAUGCAAGUUCAUUGGAAUGAUUUGCCACAGUAUUUGGAAGGGGCUCUGGGAAGUCCUCUUGGUCAUCUGAUCCACACCAGACAACAACCCAGUGUCAGAGGACAGGAGGAUGGCAGGGGAGAGACGGGAACCCUUGGAUGUGCUCAAUUGGAUUUUGGAUUUGACAUUAAUUCCUCCAUUUCAAGCCAUGUGUCAGAUCCAGGUAAGUUGCUGCCUGGGUCCAAACAAGUAUUUGUCCACCUGCUAGCUUUGCCUCCCAAGGACAGGGGUGGCUGCCGCGUGCCUUUGCAGCAUCAUUUGUCUGCCCCCAGCACGAGGAAUUCUUGGGUGACCUGGAUCCAGAUCCAGGAGGAUGACUCCUUUGUAUUUUUGCUGAGGGCACGACACUGUCAACCUCUUUACAGCACUUUGACAGGUUCGAAAGACCAGGCGGUUGGCCAGUUACUGGGCCAUUUCUGCAAUGGAUGAAGAGGGAUGUGAGUGAUUCUCUCUCCCCUGCAUCAGUGUUCCAGCUGCCCUGUUCCUGGCCUACUCUUCCCAUUGUUUUCCUUUCAUACAGAUCCUGGAUGAUUCAAAUAUUGUCAAACUGCGGCUCUCUCUGCUGUCUGCCUUGGAGGGAGGGACCUGGGGGAAGAGGGCUGGAAGUUAAGGCAAAUGAGCAGUAGACAAGAGGAGAGGACCUAGUUUCUUAGAGCAUGCCAGUAUCCAGUGUCCUCUGCUAAAGUAGUUCAUCCAUGCAGAGUUGCUGAAAGUCAGUCUCCUAUAGGCUGGGAUGUGGAGCUGAUAAGCUGCGAGUUCUGUGUGUGUGAGCCCAGGCUUUGGAGUUUUCUGGGCUCUGUUCUUUCCUUCCCUUUGCCACUGCUAAGGCUCAUCUUGAGUCUUAAUGAUCAUAAGCCUGGGGCAGGAUAUAAUAAGGAAUAGAGUGAAAUAACCUUUGUUUUUCAGGGAACUGGGUAAUGUGUGAAUAUGGCUGUGUGGGGUUCGUGGACAAGCAUAUGAGUUGCAUUUAUUUUUUGAGGGUAUUUUAUAAGGCUUCAUAACUCUACAGGUUUCAUUUAUUUCCUGUAUGUCCUUAUUCCAUUGAUGAGUGAAAGUUCAUAUUCUUGAGUGGAUAUUUGUAUUUGGUACUCUGUUCUAUCUUUUCUUUAGAAGGGGCUUAGUAGUAGCCAUAUAAUAAUUUUCUAUGUCAAAUUAUAAUUGGCAUGGUUCAAAAUAUUCCAUGUCAUAGAGAUGAUGUGGUUUAGUGAAAAAAGCAAUGGAGUGAGGAAUAUGUUCAAAUUGUUCCUUUGAUACUUGCUAGGUGUAUGGUCAUGGACAAGUCAUUCAGCCUGUCUGAACCUCAGUUUUCUCAUCUGCAAAAUGGAGAUAAUACUUUUUAUAUUAUUAUCUCUUGGGGUUGUUGUGAGGCUCAAACAAGAAGAUGUAAGUAAAGUGCUUUGUAAACCUUAAAUCUCUAUAUAAAAGCUAA